GAUGAAGAACGUAGCGAAAUGCGAUAAGUAAUGUGAAUUGCAGAAUUCAGUGAAUCAUCGAAUCUUUGAACGCACAUUGCGCCCCUUGGUAUUCCGAGGGGCAUGCCUGUUCGAGCGUCAUUAUAACCCCUCAAGCUCAGCUUGGUGUUGGGGCCUGCUGCACUGGCAGCCCUUAAAAUCAGUGGCGGCGCCAUCUGGCUCUAAGCGUAGUAAUUCUUCUCGCUAUGGAGUCCUGGUGGAUGCUUGCCAUUAACCCCCAAUUUUUCUAUGGUUGACCUCGGAUCAGGUAGGGAUACCCGCUGAACUUAAGCAUAUCAAUAAGCGGAGGA
Molecule: unclassified non-coding RNA, 329 nt
Filed under: soil metagenome
Description: partial contains 5.8S ribosomal RNA, internal transcribed spacer 2, and large subunit ribosomal RNA
Rfam family: 5.8S ribosomal RNA (bases 1-120)
Source: RNAcentral